This 125-nucleotide unclassified non-coding RNA is filed under the name Chryseobacterium takakiae. Its description in RNAcentral is "Flavo-1 RNA". Lineage: Bacteria; Pseudomonadati; Bacteroidota; Flavobacteriia; Flavobacteriales; Weeksellaceae. The record is from RNAcentral.
UUUUAGCCCCGAUAGAAACGGUUACCCCGGAGCAAGCGUUAGAGAGAUGCUGAGUAUAAGGAUUUAGCAUUGGAGAAGGCAGGAAGAAUGGGAGCGAGGAGUAUGAGUGGAUAGCGGGAAAAAGC